This is a long non-coding RNA of Oreochromis niloticus (Nile tilapia), 3251 nucleotides long. RefSeq lists it as uncharacterized. NCBI's taxonomy places the organism in Eukaryota, Metazoa, Chordata, Actinopteri, Cichliformes, Cichlidae. The transcript has 3 exons. The record is from RefSeq and is a predicted model, not a curated record.
UGCAGGAACCCUGAUUAGUGUGAGUGGAAAACGGCCGAGUCUCCUCUGAUAAAUCUGUGCCACUGAAAACAGUUCAUCUGACUCUGACUGUAAACAUGUUUCUAUUUGUCACUUCAGCCUUUACUCUGAAAUACAGGAAAUGAAAUCACAGCUCAAACUAUUUCUUUAACAGUUUAAAUGUUAUUUAAACAUUGUAGAAUUUCAACAAAACAAACAGCCAGAAUAAGAAAACAUCUGCAGAACACAUGGAUCAAAAUACAUUCAAUAAAAAAAUUGAUAACAUGAAACAUAUUUCUUCAUCCAACUGCUAAAACAAAGCUAACCACUCAAUAUGAACACUAAAGCAGAACAGUUUAGAAACCUUAAAAUGGAACUAGGGAACCAUUUUCAUUCAUAGCUGCCUCAUCAGAUCUUUACAGGAGAUUCCAUCUGAACUCUGGUGAGCCUGAUCUCAAGGGUUUGAAGUCUGACCCUGAAACCAGAAGAGGAUCGUUCUGUCUCUUCAGAUUCACUGUGAUGGGAGUGAUUUCAGCCAGGACUGAUCACACUGAUGUUUGCGCAGACAAUGAAGUGAAUGCUUUGGCACAUUGGUAACAGUGAAACAGUUUAUUAGUAACGUAGUAUCGUUUGUGUUCAGAUUCAGAAGCAUUUAUUUAUCCCCAAGGAUCAAUUAAGAGACUGACCUUGCCGACCGUACAUACAAUACACAAACAUCACAUUGGGGAGACGGGUCAGGCUAGGUAGCUGGGCUGUCAGCCGUACGAGCAGCGACCCAGAACCAAACAACAAUGGAAAAUGCACAUGUAACCCAUAUUUAAGGAUGGCUUGGAUAAAAUAUACCAAAAUGAAAAAAAGGGACCAUUAAUCUUAGCAGUACACUCUGUUUAUAGUGAAUAAGCCAUAGGUGCAGCAGUUAAAGAGUUAACUGCUCUGGUGUAGGCGUGAGUUGCUCUAAGCCAAUGAGCUGCUGAAACGUGGUGCAGGGUCCCGCCUGCCAUCUCCGUCUGAGAGAGCACAGGCUUUUCCUUCUCUCUCUCGCGAAUCCUCCAUGAGCACGCUAGCAAGGAAAAAGACACAGCGAUUCACUGAAACGAGAUCGGGAGUUAGAGACGACGCCAUUUCAUCAUUCCUGCGCCAUCUCGCGCUGCUCCGCCUUUCUUUUCUGAGAUCGGUCAGGUUUUUUUGUUUCCCUUUGUAUCUUCCUUUUGAUGCAUUGCAACGGAUCCUGUAAUCGAUGGCGAGCCAACCCCGUUGAAGGACCAAUUGACUUUGUUCUGUGCUGCACAGCAGAGUGUGGUAGGCCAGUUGCAACAAAACAAAAACACACCGCGCCACUUUGAACUUACUGUUCCCCUUCUUCACACACAUCCCCCUGGACUUACGGACGGUUUAUUUUAAGGACUUUUUACGGACUCUAUACAUCCCACGAACAGGAAGGGAAGUGGGUGUGGGCGGUUGGAUCUAUUUCUCCAGCUGAAUAAUUGUUGCAAUUGGUUCACAAAGUCUAUGAAGAUAUAACCAAGUGUUGUUAUUUGGAUUUUGCUAAGUGAUAUUGUGGUUCAUUUUGGAAGUGAACUUCGUACAUUUAGAAGGGUGCACCCAGGUAAGGUUUCUUUUUUGUGAUUACUGUGAUUGUGCCACAGGGUUGUCACUGAGGAAAAUACUGGUACCAAAAACAGAGGCUUUUAUUUAUAAUAUUUUGUAUGUUUGUAAUUUUCUUUCUUUUGUUUCUGGAUGACAAAAAAUACAAAGCCGGCAUUUUCAAAACUCACAGUUGCCUGAGUCUCAUUCAGUUUGCCUCUCCUGUACAUAGCCGAACCCACUGGUCCAAAGCAGUGAGCUCUUUUGCAUCAAAUUUGGGUGAAGUACCUUUUGGUCUUAGAGUAUUAGAAACACAUUAGUGUUAUACACAACAUGAGGAAAGAUGAGGAGAAAAAAAGAACUCCCCCAGACUGAGCUCCAACAGGAAGAUCAUUUUGAGUACAUGCGUAUGUGUUUGCGUGAGUGUCUGUUCAGUGUUCAACCAAGAGAACGUGUCCCUUCACCCGGUUAAGCAAAAGUCAACAAUCUUCGUUUGACGCAUGUGACCUUGAAUGACGAGGGAGAGAGUCAUAACAAACAGUCUUAUUAUCUAAUGAAGAAUUAUUAUUCCUUUGCCUUGAGCAUGUAGCUGGUGCCAGGGGUGCCGCAUGAGAUGAAGAUGGUAGUUAUUUUGGUUACUGCGAACAAACUGCAUCCAACUUUACAGUUGGUCUAAAGUCCGUCACUGGUCACCAGGUCUCUAUAUUCCAGUUUAUCUUCUUCAAGAUGUUAUCCAUAUAGCAGAACCAAAACAACCAAAAAAAAACCCCCAAAAAAACAGAUGACCUGCAUCCAAUCCAACAGUCCGAGUACUCACAGCCGUGCCCAUGGUCUAUCAUGUCGGCCAGCCUUGUGGGAUUUUGAACAGCUGUUGCCACUUCUUGUUCUUCCAUAAGCCAGGUCCGGGCCAGCUCCAAUCAGCCAGAACUCUGUUAUUGUGGUUCCGAAUUGGUAGAUGUCAUUCAAUGUUCUCCAUCGAGAGUGUCACCAGACUCACGACGCAACCGACUGGCAGCAAAUAUCUCCGCAGGACAGUCGAGCUCUCCCAAGCCCAGGAGGGUGUCAAUUCCAUUAAGGGACCAGUUGAUCAAAUCCAUAAUUGUUCUUUCCGUUUUUAGAGAACAAGUCUAGGAGACUCUCUUAGGGUUAGAGAAUAAGCGAGACUAUACAAAGGACAUGAUGAGCCAAACAGGAAAGAUAAGCGAGAAGGAGAGGGUGAAGGAGAAAGUGCGACCGCCUCUGUCAAGAGCCAAGAGAACCAGAGUAUGAACUGAGAUUCCUGAAGCUCUUGUCACACUGGUCACAGCUGUAGUUUCCUUUCAUGUGCGUACGUUCAUGAAAGUUAUGACUACCUGGGAGUGAGAAGCUUUUGUCACAGUUUCUGCAUGGUUUCUCAACUGUGCACAUGUUUGUUUGUUUGUUUGUUAAAAUUGACCAGUAGUAGUGAACGAUGACCCACAUUGGUCACAGAGGUGCUUUUUAACCCCACUGUGAAUGACUUCAUGGCGUUUUAAUGUACUCGAGAAGCUUCACCCACUAUUUUUGCACUAGGUGAGUUUAUCUCCAGUGUCUUUAUGUUGAUGUCUUUUUAGGUCAGCUUGCCAACUGAAACUCUUUCCCACCACCACAGUGAUGACAGGGUUGGGAACUGGAUCCAUCUGUGUCGCUCU